AAUCAACGCUGGCGGCGUGCCUCAGACAUGCAAGUCGAACGAUUAAAGCUCUCUUCGGAGAGUGCAUAGAGUGGCGCACGGGUGAGUAACACGUAAGUAAUCUACCUUCGAGUGGGGAAUAACGUCCGGAAACGGGCGCUAAUACCGCAUAAUGCAGCGGCAUCGCAAGAUGACAGUUGUUAAAGGAGCAAUCCGCUUGAAGAGGAGCUUGCGGCAGAUUAGCUAGUUGGUAGGGUAAUGGCCUACCAAGGCUACGAUCUGUAACCGGUCUUAGAGGACGGUCGGUCACACUGACACUGAAUAACGGGUCAGACUCCUACGGGAGGCAGCAGUCGGGAAUUUUGGGCAAUGGGGGAAACCCUGACCCAGCAACGCCGCGUGAAGGAUGAAGUAUUUCGGUAUGUAAACUUCGAAAGAAUAGGAAGAAUUAAUGACGGUACUAUUUAUAAGGUCCGGCUAACUACGUG
This 467-nucleotide ribosomal RNA is filed under the name uncultured bacterium. RNAcentral describes it as "bacterial SSU rRNA". It matches the Rfam family "Bacterial small subunit ribosomal RNA", at positions 32 to 507 of the family's 1533-position model. The record is from RNAcentral.